ACACAACGGGCCAUUGGAAGGAGGGAUGGUUGCUGAUAAUGGGCCUCUGUACGCCUAUUUAGAUAUUCCACAAUGUUCAAGGGAUGUACAUUCAGUCCAUAGUAGCCAAUAACAACAUAAUUUGAUGGACAAUGUUCAUAGGCAGGUGCAAUCAUGUCUAAUGAGGUUACAAGGUAAAACUGGAAGUCGGGCACAUUAUCCGCUUAAUGACAGUGGGGCUAGUUAGUGACAAUUGUGUGAACCUUUAUGCAGAGCUGCACAUGCACAGCCUAAUAUGACAUACAACACAAACUUCAGUGACCCGUUUUAGCUCAUGAGCACUACAACUGGCUACUACUGGCUGAAAUUAUGGAAAAACUACACAGAGCCUUUCAAAGUGAGUUCAUAGAGUAUUUAGACUGUGUUUCCUCUCAAUGUCCCAAGGCAAGACCUUUACUAUUGGAAAUAUUAACAGACACAAUCCAUCAGACAUCAGAUUGCAAUAGUGCUAUUAUUAGCUACUAGUAUCUCCAUUGUUUCAGCUUUUUCUGUUUGUUAUUUUUUCUGUCUUUAGUUCUGUCUGCCUUUUGUCCACUUCCUCAUGCAUCAUGCAUCACCCUCCCUCUCUCCUGCUACCUUCCGUUCUUCUCUUUGUCUUCUCUCUUUUAUGUCGCUCUUCGUAUCCAGACCCGGCGCAAGAACGAAGCAAGAACGAAUCAGUUGGACGGCCUUGGAUUUUUUUUAAGGGAUCUCCUAUGUGUGCAGAAAAUGAAAGAGUGAAGAUUAUAAUUAUAUAUCCACAACUGAUCAAGACCAAAGCUGUAUCCCAUUAAUAAUGCCAGACUAUCCAGAAGUUCCCCUGGGCAGUUCCAAAAAAGGCAGAAAAGCUGGUCUUGUUCUCCCUCUACCCCAGCCCAGGAUGAAUUUAAUGGGGACACGUCUAGACAGGGGCAACCCAGGGAUUCACCUGGCCAUUCUAGAUGCUGUCCUUUCCCAUCUCACUUCAAACACAAAUAAUCCAGGCCUUCUCCUAGCCAGUCCCACCUCCAGAGCAGAGAGCACAGACGUUCUACAUAUCCAUCCUGUUACUCUACCAGACAAGAUUCAUCCAGGGCUUCUACUUGCCAGUCCCAACGGAGCCAAGAGCAUCGCAGCUCUCACCCUCCCAUUCCCUCCACUAGACCAGAGUUGUUUCCCAUGAAUAAUGCCAAACUUCAGAAGUGUGUCCUAACUAAAUUGGAGAUAUUGGAGGAGGUGAAACGUGUUGGGAGAGCAGAGCCCCAAGACUCUUUGAGUUCCAUGUCAAGAGGAUGGAGAUGGAGCAAGACUUUGACCAACUAGAGAAGCAGCUCCAAGGUGUGGAUGCACAGAAUCUGAUGGUGAAAGUGAAAUUUAUUUUGUAGAUUUGUAAGCAUUUUUCACACAAGCGAUACAAAAAGUGAUGCCCGUAGAAUUUUUUUUUUAAAGUACUCAUACUGAGACAGUGGUUACUGCAUAACUUCUGGUGUUUCAAACAAAGUCUCUUGACACAGAUUGCAAGGUUAAGCAAAAUUGGUGUUAAGGACACAAAGGACUGUGCCAACAAGGUCAUGGUAUGUCAUAUCUUCAGAAUGGAUCCAAUAAGAAAGUCAUUUUAAAGGUAUUGUUAGUGAUACAAACUGUCUGCAACAAAGACAGUAAAUCCAGCCUUAUCUCCUCAGCAGUUUGAAAGUGUUCAAUUCACAAAGUACAUCCUAUGUGUGCUUGACUUUCAGGCUCUUUACCAAUGGCCUGAUGUCCUUGUUCAACUUCAAUGGCCAUCACGCAAGCGAGGAUUAGGAAACACAACUGUGUACUCUGUUGUCAACAGUACCUACAAACAUGUCAUUAUUCUGUAGUAUAUUUUGUAUUAAUAACUGGGUGGUUUGAGCCCUGAAAGCUGAUUGGCUAACGGCCAUGGUAUAUUUAAGCAAUAAUACAUGAGAGCCCAUGUGUUAUGAUGACAUUUUUAUCAUGGCUGAGUGUCAUAGCCAUAAAAGCAAAGUCCUCUGGGUUUUGUGGUACCGUAACCACACAAUACAUGGUUAACAGUCUGUAUCCAGGCACCCUGAGUUGCGUUGUGCAUAAGAAAAGCCUUUACUACACCUUCCCAUUGCUUAAAGGAUCACUAAGGUUGCGCAAUCAAAAUGACCUGCUCUGUCUGUUUUAAUAGGCUAGAUUAUUAUUUUGUCUUCUAAAACAAUUAUUCAUUUGCAUGGUGGUAAUUUGUGUAGUUGUCACGUUCUGACCUUAGUUCUUUUGUUAUUGUCUUUGUUUAGUAUGGUCAGGGCGUGAGUUGGGUGGGUUGUCUAUGUUCCUUUUUCUAUGAUUUGGGAUUUCUGUGUUUGGCCUGGUAUGGUUCUCAAUUAGAGGCAGCUGUCUAUCGUUGUCCCUGAUUGAGAACCAUACUUAGGUAGCCUGGUUUCACUUUUGAGUUAUUUUCUGUGUUAAUGUUUGUGACACACGGGACUGUUUCGUUUGUUUCACUUUGUUAUUUUGUAUUUUGUAGUGUUCAGUUUUACAUAUUAAAAUGGACACUUACCACGCUGCAAAUUGGUCCGAUCUCUCUUACUCCUCAUCAGAAGAAGAGGACGAGCGUUACAGUGGUCCCUUUUUGAGAAUAAUGGUUUUAGGAGCUUGGCAAUUUUGAAUGAGGUGAUCAUGUGACCUUAAUGGCCUUUUAACCUAUUGACGCGCAAGUUCUAAAAAUGUAUAACGGUCUGCCCAGCGUGGCAUUUCCUCAAUCAUUUUUUUUUAUUUUGCAAUGCUGUAGCCCUAAUAAAUGCUUUACCAUUUUUUUUUCUUUGAUGGAGCAGACUCUAGUAUGUCAUUAUGUUGGUUUUGUUUAGCUUUCUGGCCUGUUAUCAAUUAGGCCUUAUUAUUACUUAAUUUCAUCACACAGCCUACUAGUCCUGCAUUUAAAUGCAGUCAAGCAUUCUCUUGAAUAAUUAGCCUAGAGUUUUACAA
This is a long non-coding RNA of Oncorhynchus tshawytscha (Chinook salmon), 2964 nucleotides long. RefSeq lists it as uncharacterized. The record is from RefSeq and is a predicted model, not a curated record. Lineage: Eukaryota; Metazoa; Chordata; Actinopteri; Salmoniformes; Salmonidae. The transcript is spliced from 7 exons.